ACGUUCUUGUGUUAUUCGCUGAACUUUUAUUCUUGUUCAGCGAUUGUCAAACAGAACGCAUAUUGAAACCCAGAACAGUUUACUCCACGUUGCAGAGCCUAUCAAUUCCAAGGCUUCUGCAUAACUACCCACUGUUCACAUAC
Non-coding RNA from Drosophila virilis, 143 nucleotides. NCBI's taxonomy places the organism in Eukaryota, Metazoa, Arthropoda, Insecta, Diptera, Drosophilidae. The record is from Rfam.